Molecule: long non-coding RNA, 1281 nt
Organism: Nothoprocta perdicaria
Lineage: Eukaryota; Metazoa; Chordata; Aves; Tinamiformes; Tinamidae
Exons: 2
Source: RefSeq, a predicted model, not a curated record
CUUCUUUUCUCUUCCAAGGAGCAGUUCCCUUUGCCAUGUGGAGAAGGGGAAUCAGAGUUUGCUUCCAUGACUCACAGCCCAUCCUAUGGAUCAUACGGACCACGGAGGACCUGAGACUGGACAGGAAGCCUUCCGGAGCUACAGUUACGUCUUCCCUAGCACUGAUUCUGGGAAAAACACUCCAAACAGUCAUUGCUCCCUGAAGAGUGUGUGACCUUUGCUUUCUUUUUCUUCUCCGACCCUYCGUUUUUUUCCUUCAUUGGAGCAUAACUGAGACUCAGCAUCCACUUGUCACUUGAGGAAUGUACUGGGUCAAAGCCCCGCAGACUUCCUGAUUCUUUUCGUCYCUUCUGCUCUUUCUACCUUUGGUUUUAUUUAUAUGUGUUGUUAUUUGCCCUCCUCAUGCCCGUCCGUCACGGCUGCCCUCGGAGGGACGCGGGUGCCAGAGCUCCCURUGUAGCCCUGGACGCCAGGUGCCUUUGGUGAUAUAGGUGCCAUUGCAGUGAUAUAAAUAYCUGUUUUUCCCUUGAUAACGGAUUGUUACCUCCCACAAAAGGUGCGUGCGAGAGCGGGAUGCAGCUCCAGGCUGCACGGGCAGCAGGGACAUGCAGGGGCAGGAAGGGCUGUGGCUGUUCCUGCAUCCAUGAGCGUGUUUUCCAGCUGCUACACUAAUCCAAGUGAGUAGUUCUGCAGCCUAAAACAUGGGCCCUUUCACAUUAAUUCUGGAGUGGUGGAUUCCAGGAUCCCUAAAGGGUGAUCCUGAUUUUCGUGAGUAUCCUUUGUUCUCACCUUACACCCUGUUCACAAUCAAAACCAAGCAGUUUCCAAUGACAAGGGGAUGGAGGCAACCUCACUUGCAUCUCCAUCCACUGGUAACCCUGAAUUCUUAAGUAGCCUUUUUUAUCUGCAAAAAAAGAAUUUUAAAGACUUGUUGAAUGCGAGCAAAUAUAUGCAAUUCUUCCAUUCCCAGGCGCACGCUGUGUGCAAGCUGUGAAAACGUUUUAUCUGGUAACUUAACGACAAAGCAGAUUCCUUGGCUCCCAGCACAGCUGAAGAAUAAGAAACACCACGAGGCUUCUAGGGUCCCAGCAGAGGCAGGUGCCAGCGCCAGGGACGGAGCCGGUGCCGCCAGCACCGUGUCCUUGUCACGAAGCUGCCGCUCCCCGCGGGCUCGCGCCACCUUUGCGCUGGAUCUAUGUAUUAAAAAAUAAAUAUGUAUAAAAUACAAAAUAAGGCUGGUAAGUAACCAGUGAACGGGACUGAAAAAAGCAGUAUUUUUCU